RNAcentral lists this ribosomal RNA (253 nucleotides) under uncultured bacterium. RNAcentral describes it as "partial 16S ribosomal RNA". It matches the Rfam family "Bacterial small subunit ribosomal RNA", at positions 524 to 776 of the family's 1533-position model. The record is from RNAcentral.
UACGAAGGGGGCUAGCGUUGCUCGGAAUCACUGGGCGUAAAGGGUGCGUAGGCGGGUCUUUAAGUCAGGGGUGAAAUCCUGGAGCUCAACUCCAGAACUGCCUUUGAUACUGAAGAUCUUGAGUUCGGGAGAGGUGAGUGGAACUGCGAGUGUAGAGGUGAAAUUCGUGGAUAUUCGGAAGAACACCAGUGGCGAAGGCGGCUCACUGGUCCGGUACUGACGCUGAGGUGCGAAAGCGUGGGGAGCAAACAGG